AUACUUUCGCAAGUCACUGUAUACAUUUAUAUUUCGGACUUUGACAUUGCUUGUUCUGACAUUUUUUAAUGUUUUAUAUUUUUGGGAUUUGUGUGUUGUUUUGUAUUGUUAGGUAUACUACACUGUUGGAGCUAGAAACAAGCAUUUCGCUGCACCUGCGAUAACAUCUGCAGAUAUGUGUACAGGACCAAUACUAUUUCAUUUAGAUUAGAGCUUGACAUGAGUGCCACAUAACAUGUUGAAAUGUUGGAGUCAUACUUAUACUAAUUUAUGUUAUUCAAUAUGCAUAAGCUGCCAUGUAGGCCUAUGUAUUAAAACGUUGUAUCAUUUUCUUAGGCAUCACACUGAUCACCUUGGUGAUCUGGUUCCCGUGGCAUGUGGUGUUUUUGGAAACUACAAGUGGCCCAUAGCAGCAAGGAAGAUCUUGAUGCUGUCGUUCCCUCCUGAGAAGCUGGACCUGAUGUUCACCUCCCCCCUCAUGUACGGUGGCUUCCAGCUGCUCAACGGCCUGCUGCUGGCCACAGUGUUUCAGAGCUAUAAAUGGACAUGACUACAGACACUAUCUGAUGUCCCCUCUGGAGAGGACCCGCAGAGCUAGCUCAGUGUCAACGGUGGAAAUGGGGAAGUCAGUGUGGAGUUUGAGAAUGAACAAACUAUCCCAAAGACCAUACAAAGUAAUGGAGCCUUACUGGGGAAACCAGAUUCGAGGACGAAUUGAAGUGUGGAAUGAACAAAGCCGUUUAUAAAGUCUCCUCCAAAAUUACUGGCACCCUUGAUAAGGAUGAGAAGAAAAUACUAUAUGAAAUAAAUAAUACAAAUACUGAGCUAUAUUGUCUUAAAAAAAAAAAAAGAGGGGAAAUCAUAUUAUUUUAUACUAAUACAAUUGCUGAGAGAUUAUUCUAAUUAUAUUUGUCAAAAUUAUUGGCACCCCUGUUUUUAAUACUCCGGCACCCUCCCCUUGCGAGGAUAACGCCACUGAGCCUUUUUCUAAAAUGUUUUAUGAGUUGGCGAACACAUUGGUAGGGAUCAUUCCUACAUACAGCAUCUUCCCAGGUCCUUGAUACCCUUCAGUCUGUGCGUAUGGAGUACCCUCUUCUAUUCAAACCACAGGUUUUCAAUGGGGUUCUAGUCCAGUCACUGUUGACAUUUCAUCAAUGUAUUUUAAUGUAUAAAAGUACAGACAUGCCUAACUGUGAUGUUUUUAAUGCAUUGAUUCUACUAAUAUAAGUGUUGCAUUUGAAAGUUAUUUUUUCAGAAAAAUAAAGAUUAAGAAAAAAAAAAAUUUAACAGCCUUUUUAUGCCUUGAGUGUAAUAGAAGUAUCAAUGCAUUGUUUAUAUAAUGGACAUGAAGUCUACUUUUGCUCAUGUGAGCCCUGAUAAGAGGUCACUUUACUCAGGAUUCCCCUUUUGGAUCAACCUUGUUCCUACGGCAGAACAGAUACCCUACUCUGUGGAUGCUACUGUGAGGUCAAAGAUAUUGCAUAACAUCUCUCACAAGAGCCGAUUCAGCUGUAUCUGACCAGUUGAGUCGAUAGGGUGCAAAGUUUUGCUCCCUUGUUCUGCUGAAAACAUUACUCUAUAAAUGGACAAUUACAUAUUGAUCCAGUGAUCCAUGAAGGCUUAGGAAUGACAUCAAAGUUCAAGCGAGUUUAGAAUCAACUCUUAGCCCAAGCAUCCUAACGGAUGUUGGUGAGUUUGUGUGAGAGAGAAGAGAGAGCUACUAUACUUAGUGGUAGAGAAGAGAGAGCUACUAUACUUAGUGGUAGAGAAGAGAGAGCUACUAUACUUACAGUGGUAGAGGCUGGUGUCGUGGCGCACCAGAGCAGUGGAGCCUGUCACCAGCAGAGCAGUGGAGCCUGUCACCAGCAGAGCAGUGGAGACCCAGAAAAGGGUGAGGACACAUGGAUUAGGCUACAUGUCUGACUGUGUUUAGUUUCUCUAAUGUCCACACUGGGACCGGCAUGGCUGUGGCAGUAUGUAACAAAGCAAUACUCUCUCUGUGAUGAUGCCUCAAUAUAACAGGUAGAGGGAAAGUAAACCGUGUGAACAUUAUUGCCAACCAGUACUGUAUUGUGCUGUCCCAGAUAUUUUCUUGUCACAUUAUCCUUUCCAGCACGGCUCCAGCAACAAUGGUGGAUACGUAACCAGGACAGCUCAGCUUGGCUUAGCCAGAGCCGUUUUCUUACAGAGUUCACACAACUCUUUGUUUGGGGUGCAUAUAUUGUAUGUCAGAGACUAAACAUUCAUAUGAAAAUAUAACACCAACAUAGGGGGGCAGGGCUUUCGUCCCUCUACCCAACAGAGAUCAGAUGUUAAUCAUUUGUUGCAAGAUUUUAUUGGCCAAGAUAGUUAAACUGAAUAGCUUUCAUAUGACCCUAUAAAGUAUACCUUUAACUGCCUUACAUCGCACAUUUUUCUGUAGUAGAUUGUAUAACACUAUGUUUUAUACUUUAACUGAUGCAAAACAUUCUGUGCAAUAAACAGACUACCACAUGAGCAUCA
Long non-coding RNA from Coregonus clupeaformis (lake whitefish), 2502 nucleotides. RefSeq lists it as uncharacterized. The record is from RefSeq and is a predicted model, not a curated record. The transcript has 3 exons. Lineage: Eukaryota; Metazoa; Chordata; Actinopteri; Salmoniformes; Salmonidae.